GGAGGUGUAGUUCAACGGUAGAACGUCAGUCUCCAAAACUGAUUGUUAUGGGUUCGAUUCCUGUCGCCUCUGCCA
RNAcentral lists this transfer RNA (75 nucleotides) under Spiroplasmataceae bacterium. RNAcentral describes it as "tRNA-Trp". It matches the Rfam family "tRNA". From Rfam's summary of the family: Transfer RNA (tRNA) molecules are approximately 80 nucleotides in length. Their secondary structure includes four short double-helical elements and three loops (D, anti-codon, and T loops). Lineage: Bacteria; Bacillati; Mycoplasmatota; Mollicutes; Entomoplasmatales; Spiroplasmataceae. The record is from RNAcentral.